GGAUUUAAUUAUUCAAUUCGCGCAAUACAUGAGGCAACCGUGGAUCCUAUAACCACCAAGAAACAGGGUGAGGAGGAACAACCGCCGCAGAACUGGAAUAUUAAAAUGCUUUACGAUGGAGAUUGCCCUCUUUGCAUGCGUGAGGUCAAUAUGCUUAGAGAGAGGAAUAAAAGCUAUGGCACUAUAAAGUUUGUUGAUAUAAGUGCAGAGGAUUACUCUGCAAAGGACAAUCAAGGCCUAGACUACGAAACUGUAAGUAACUCGACCAUUGGAUAUUAGCCCAAUGGCAUAUCCAAAUGAUGUUAAAUUGUUGGUGUUUUGUUUGGGAAUCUGCCCAUGCCCAGAUGCUAUCUGUAUCAAAAGGGGAUGAUAACUGCAUUUAAAAUAAAGGGUAGAAACCAAGUCCAUUACGGGUACUUAUCUUAAAAAUCCUACUUAUUGAUUCUGAUUACUUGAUAUUGUUUUAUGGGCUAGAUUUUUUAGUUUUCCUGUAAUCCAUGAUGCAUGACUGUCUACAUAUUAUUUCGAUGCUUAGCACACUUUAAAGCAACAUUUUAUUAUGUGUGCCUGGUGACAGUGACAAGUGUAGUUCAUUUUGUAGGUUAUGGGAAGAAUUCAUGCAAUCCUUUCUGAUGGAACUGUGGUCACAGAUGUUGAAGUACGCCUCCACUCUUAACCUUUAUUAAGUCUUGAUUUCAGAUUACUAGCACUGUUGCUAUGCCCUUCUUAAUGUAUCUUACUAAUUGUUUCCUUGAAUCUUGCUGCUAUAAGAUAUUUGGAUUUUAUGAAGUUAGUGGAUGAUUAAGUAAAGUGUAAAAGCUAAACAUCAGCUAUUGAUAUCAAUAUCAGAGGUUAAAUUCUAGGACUAGGUAUCCCUGAACAAUCAACUGAGGCCAGUUGAAUAAUUCAAAAUUUUCUUAUAUUGGAUAUGGAUAUCACUCUUUUGAAUAACUAACACAGGUCUCAAUGUGCUGCUUCCAGGCAGUGAAUUGGGUCCUUUUGGCCAUGUAGCAUAUAAAAUUAUCUGACAAGACAAAUUAGUUGAACCAAACAAUAUCUAAUCGGGCGAAAUUCUUAUACUGAUUAAAUAAAUUCUUGCUGUCACUGUUGCUGUUCUAUAAAAGAUGCUCAGUUAAGAUUUUAGUGACAUUAUCGUAGCAACAGGAUUUUGCUCUUAAUAAUCUGUAGAUUUCAAAGACCAUAUAAGUUGAGCUAUUUCCAGAAUAAACUAAUGUUAUUGACAACUACAGGCAUUCAGAAGAUUAUAUGAACAAGUUGGUCUUGGAUGGGUUUAUGCCAUUACUAAAUAUGAACCUGUAAGUACCACAUAACUGCCUGUUGAUUCCCUUUGCAAAGUUGUGCUUUUUUCUUCACUUGACUUCUAUUAAUGACAACAUCAUGCUAUUUUUAGGUUGCAACAAUAGCUGAUGCUGUGUACAGAGUUUGGGCUAAAUAUCGUCUUCAAAUUACAGGUAAAUGCAGUACUUCUUAACACGAUUCAUGGCUACUAGAAUUCGGAGAUGUUUUUCUCAGUUUAAGACUUCAGUUGUUUAAUGUCAAUGGUGUGUUUUGGUUGUAGGCCGACCAUCUUUAGAAGAAAUAUUGGAUGCAAGAAAAAAGAAGGUAAUAAGCAAGUGCAACUGGAUAGAUUUCCUUGUUUCUGCCAUCUAACGUUGUAGUUUUGAGUUUUGACAAGAUUAAACAGAAUCUUAAAAUAACAGACACACUCAAAGAUGGUAGUAAAUUUAAUACUCGAACCAUGGAUGUUUCUGUCAAGCGGAAAUGCUUAGAUGUUCAGAUAUGAAAGGUAUUUGGUGUUGAUUCACACAUGGCUUCAUGUUUCCCUUGUAGGGUGAAGUUUGUAAUGAUGGCAGUGCUUGUAAGAUGUAAGCUCGCUUCAAAGAUCCAGCGAUCAUGAUUUUGACAGAAUUUUUAUAUUAUAUAAACAUUUAUUAUAUCAUGUUCUGAAUUUGGCCUUCAGCUUAUAUUCCAGAAGUGGCCACAAUUUAAGAAGAAAUGUGUUUUGCUCUCUGAUAGUCGAGAAUAUUCUUGACAAUCUCUCUUACUUAUUAUGAUGUAAUAUGAUAUGUUAAAUGCAAAUUAAAUUUCAAACUCUUGUAUAUCGUCCUUGCAUGUAUGAUCAUCAAAGUAUCUAGUAAAAUAAUGUCAUUACAAUUAUAGAUGAACAAGAAGAAGAAGAAACCUCUCAAGCCCAACCCCAUCGUUGUUUACACGGGAAAUUUUUUCGGCUAUUCAGCGCUGAAAAGUUCUUAGCACUGGAAAAUUCUUUUGUCAUUCAGCUCUGAAUCUCAUGCAACGCUUGAUAGAGAAGAACCAUCUCAGAACCAUUCAUCCUCGAGCGUAAACCACGUUUUUCAUUCAAGAAAACAAAGUAAUGUUUCCUAUGGAAAAGUUUCCUCGUCUUUCACUGCCCGUAUAAAUGAAAAGGAAAAGUUUCCUGUCGUGAGUGAAGGACAGAGGAAAAGUUUCCUCUCUGAUUUUAAACACUAGCUCCACGAUUUGACUCAUCGUUCUCGUCUCUUUUCCCAUAACCACUGUUUUUCAAUCUCUCGGCUCAUAUGCUACCACCAACUUCUUUUCAGUUUCUCUCCUAAACUCUGCAU
This 2624-nucleotide unclassified non-coding RNA is filed under the name Hevea brasiliensis (rubber tree). The record is from RNAcentral. Lineage: Eukaryota; Viridiplantae; Streptophyta; Magnoliopsida; Malpighiales; Euphorbiaceae.